Molecule: ribosomal RNA, 285 nt
Filed under: Triticum aestivum (bread wheat)
Lineage: Eukaryota; Viridiplantae; Streptophyta; Magnoliopsida; Poales; Poaceae
Description: partial small subunit ribosomal RNA
Source: RNAcentral
UUCGCUCGGGCAUUUUGGGCCAUAGUUCAAGUAGCUUCGAAUCUAUACCCACCACGUAGUGCACGGAACAUGUUCGGCAACUGGUUGCGGGGUAUUGAUAAACAAUUUUCUGCACAUAUUCUUGUGGGAGCAGCGGCCUUAUGCUGGGCGCUGUGGCUUACCAGGAAUUAUGUGUUUUUUAAUAACAAAUGUGUCUCAUCUCCUAUGCAGGUUAUUCAUGUGUGUACACGAUGGCUCCGUACUUGGUCUAUCCUGCAGAGGCCGGAGGACAGAGACUUUUUAUGA